CCUACGGGAGGCAGCAGUGGGGAAUAUUGCACAAUGGGGGAAACCCUGAUGCAGCGACGCCGCGUGAGUGAAGAAGUAUUUCGGUAUGUAAAGCCCUAUCAGCAGGGAAGAAAAUGACGGUACCUGAUUAAGAAGCCCCGGCAAACUACGUGCCAGCAGCCGCGGUAAUACGUAGGGGGCAAGCGUUAUCCGGAUUUACUGGGUGUAAAGGGAGUGUAGACGGCAGCACAAGUCUGGAGUGAAAUGCCGGGGCUUAACCCCGGAACUGCUUUGGAAACUGUGCAGCUAGAGUGCAGGAGAGGUAAGUGGAAUUCGUGGUGUAGCGGUGAAAUGCGUAGAUAUUAGGAGGAACACCAGUGGCGAAGGCGGCUUACUGGACUGUAACUGACGUUGAGGCUCGAAAGCGUGGGGAGCGAACAGGAUUAGAUACCCCAGUAGUC
This 440-nucleotide ribosomal RNA is filed under the name uncultured bacterium. RNAcentral describes it as "partial 16S ribosomal RNA". It matches the Rfam family "Bacterial small subunit ribosomal RNA", at positions 338 to 795 of the family's 1533-position model. The record is from RNAcentral.